This 1372-nucleotide ribosomal RNA is filed under the name uncultured bacterium. RNAcentral describes it as "bacterial SSU rRNA". It matches the Rfam family "Bacterial small subunit ribosomal RNA", at positions 28 to 1381 of the family's 1533-position model. The record is from RNAcentral.
GAUGAACGCUGGCGGCGUGCCUAAUACAUGCAAGUCGAGCGAACAGACGAGGAGCUUGCUCCUUUGACGUUAGCGGCGGACGGGUGAGUAACACGUGGGUAACCUACCUAUAAGACUGGGAUAACUUCGGGAAACCGGAGCUAAUACCGGAUAAUAUUUCGAACCGCAUGGUUCGAUAGUGAAAGAUGGCUUUGCUAUCACUUAUAGAUGGACCUGCGCCGUAUUAGCUAGUUGGUAAGGUAACGGCUUACCAAGGCAACGAUACGUAGCCGACCUGAGAGGGUGAUCGGCCACACUGGAACUGAGACACGGUCCAGACUCCUACGGGAGGCAGCAGUAGGGAAUCUUCCGCAAUGGGCGAAAGCCUGACGGAGCAACGCCGCGUGAGUGAUGAAGGUCUUCGGAUCGUAAAACUCUGUUAUUAGGGAAGAACAAACGUGUAAGUAACUGUGCACGUCUUGACGGUACCUAAUCAGAAAGCCACGGCUAACUACGUGCCAGCAGCCGCGGUAAUACGUAGGUGGCAAGCGUUAUCCGGAAUUAUUGGGCGUAAAGCGCGCGUAGGCGGUUUUUUAAGUCUGAUGUGAAAGCCCACGGCUCAACCGUGGAGGGUCAUUGGAAACUGGAAAACUUGAGUGCAGAAGGGGAAAGUGGAAUUCCAUGUGUAGCGGUGAAAUGCGCAGAGAUAUGGAGGAACACCAGUGGCGAAGGCGACUUUCUGGUCUGUAACUGACGCUGAUGUGCGAAAGCGUGGGGAUCAAACAGGAUUAGAUACCCUGGUAGUCCACGCCGUAAACGAUGAGUGCUAAGUGUUAGGGGGUUUCCGCCCCUUAGUGCUGCAGCUAACGCAUUAAGCACUCCGCCUGGGGAGUACGACCGCAAGGUUGAAACUCAAAGGAAUUGACGAGGACCCGCACAAGCGGUGGAGCAUGUGGUUUAAUUCGAAGCAACGCGAAGAACCUUACCAAAUCUUGACAUCCUUUGACCCUUCUAGAGAUAGAAGUUUCCCCUUCGGGGGACAAAGUGACAGGUGGUGCAUGGUUGUCGUCAGCUCGUGUCGUGAGAUGUUGGGUUAAGUCCCGCAACGAGCGCAACCCUUAAGCUUAGUUGCCAUCAUUAAGUUGGGCACUCUAAGUUGACUGCCGGUGACAAACCGGAGGAAGGUGGGGAUGACGUCAAAUCAUCAUGCCCCUUAUGAUUUGGGCUACACACGUGCUACAAUGGACAAUACAAAGGGCAGCGAAACCGCGAGGUCAAGCAAAUCCCAUAAAGUUGUUCUCAGUUCGGAUUGUAGUCUGCAACUCGACUACAUGAAGCUGGAAUCGCUAGUAAUCGUAGAUCAGCAUGCUACGGUGAAUACGUUCCCGGGUCU